GCCAGGCACAGUGGCAUGUACCUGUAGUCCCAGCUACUCGGGAGGCUGAGGUGGGAGGAUCUCAUGAGUUCAGGAGUUCUGGGCUGUAGUGCACUAUGCCAACUGGGUGUCCACACUAAGUUCGGCAUCAAUAUGGUGACCUCCCAGGAGCAGGGAACCACCAGGUUGCCUAAGGAGGGGUGGGGUGAACCGGCCCAGGUUGGAAAUGGAGUAGGUCAAAACUCCUGUGCUGAUCAGUAGUGGGAUCGCGCCUGUGAAUAGCCACUGCACUCCAACCUGGGCAACAUAGCAAGACCCCAUCUCU
RNAcentral lists this signal recognition particle RNA (304 nucleotides) under Cebus imitator (Panamanian white-faced capuchin). RNAcentral describes it as "Metazoan signal recognition particle RNA (ENSCCAG00000014684.1)". It matches the Rfam family "Metazoan signal recognition particle RNA". From Rfam's summary of the family: The signal recognition particle (SRP) is a universally conserved ribonucleoprotein. It is involved in the co-translational targeting of proteins to membranes. Lineage: Eukaryota; Metazoa; Chordata; Mammalia; Primates; Cebidae. The record is from RNAcentral.